Molecule: non-coding RNA, 37 nt
Organism: Trichobilharzia regenti
Lineage: Eukaryota; Metazoa; Platyhelminthes; Trematoda; Strigeidida; Schistosomatidae
Source: Rfam
AUCCAGUCCCAAAUAGGACGAAAUGCGCAUCCUGGAU